This 95-nucleotide transfer RNA is filed under the name Nocardioides flavus (ex Wang et al. 2016). RNAcentral's name for it is "tRNA-Arg". The record is from RNAcentral. Lineage: Bacteria; Bacillati; Actinomycetota; Actinomycetes; Propionibacteriales; Nocardioidaceae.
CGACGGCCAGCGCGACGGCGGCGUCCUGCUCCGCGGCGACGAGGGGGAGCAGCGCCUCGGCGAGGCGGGCGAGGUUCCACUCCGCGACCACCGGC